This 446-nucleotide ribosomal RNA is filed under the name uncultured bacterium. RNAcentral's name for it is "partial 16S ribosomal RNA". It matches the Rfam family "Bacterial small subunit ribosomal RNA", at positions 338 to 795 of the family's 1533-position model. The record is from RNAcentral.
CCUACGGGGGGCAGCAGUCGAGAAUCAUUCACAAUGGGGGAAACCCUGAUGGUGCGACGCCGCGUGGGGGAAUGAAGGUCUUCGGAUUGUAAACCCCUGUCAUGUGGGAGCAAAUUAAAAAGAUAGUACCACAAGAGGAAGAGACGGCUAACUCUGUGCCAGCAGCCGCGGUAAUACAGAGGUCUCAAGCGUUGUUCGGAAUCACUGGGCGUAAGGCGUGCGUAGGCGGUUUCGUAAGUAGGGUGUGAAAGGCGCGGGCUCAACCCGCGGACGGCACAUGAUACUGCGAGACUAGAGUAAUGGAGGGGGAACCGGAAUUCUCGGUGUAGCAGUGAAAUGCGUAGAUAUCGAGAGGAACACUCGUGGCGAAGGCGGGUUCCUGGACAUUAACUGACGCUGAGGCACGAAGGCCAGGGGAGCGAAAGGGAUUAGAUACCCUUGUAGUC